CCCCUCUCAGGAUUGUUCCUGGAGUGUUUCCAGUACUCCACCAGUCUCAGCUAUGGAAGGGAGAGUCAAGCAGAGGCCUAUCCAUUCCAUUCCCAGCUUGGGUAGUGGCUAGUGAGUGGAAGGCAAUCUGUUACAACU
Small nucleolar RNA from Ornithorhynchus anatinus (platypus), 138 nucleotides. The record is from RefSeq and is a predicted model, not a curated record. Lineage: Eukaryota; Metazoa; Chordata; Mammalia; Monotremata; Ornithorhynchidae.